UCUAAACUGAGACUGAAGCAGGAGGAGUUAGCCAAAUGCCUCUGUCUGCAAAUCAGAGAAAAUCCCCAAACAGAGAUUCUGUUAGAAAAGAAGAGUGGUGAAAGGUCGCAGGGAAAGCGGCCAGUAGGAUGUGCUACAGUCAUUAAGCUCGAGGUUCAAAUUACUUAACAAAUUAAAAGAAUUCUUUCAACAGAAGAAGUACAACAAACAAGUACAGGAACGUGUGCUGGUUUGUACUGUAUCGACUCGACGUAGGUGGAACUACAUUUCCCAGAAUCCCUGGCCACAAAUGGCUCCACGCAGAGUUGGCCAAAAGAGGAAUUCACUUCAGACAGAGGAGGAGGAACUGCGGCAGUCGCUGAUUCUCUCUUCUUGGUUAGACGUGGUGACAGACACCGAUGCCAACUCGUCCUCACACCCCUCUGGUCCGUGUCCAGCUGUUUUUCCCAAACACUAAACUGACUGACCAACAAAGACCCCAGGCCCACACCAGACGCUUGGCAGGAGACAGAGAGGUGGCGUUCUGGAAAUAUUUAAUUAUUGACCAAUAAUGUUUUAGUAAGCUGUAAUAAUGCAGUAAACGAGUUAAGCUCCUCCUCACACAGUAGCUUCAAUGUAUUGAUAAUGUUCUACUAAUUUAUAGAUUUAUAUAACCUUUUGCAUGUAUCAAAUAUUACGUAACUUUUUUUAAAGAAUAAAGCACGUGACAGGGUAAUCAGUGAUAUUAAAUAUUUACAGAUAUUUAAAUAAGUUGAAACCACAAUGUCUGAACAAAAUAGUGAGCUAAGAAAUCCAUCUCCACCACUUCUUUAUUAUUUACCAAAUUAUUAUUUAGCAGUUUCAUUCACGGUGCAUGAAAACUCUCCAACAUCUAUAGCCACCUAUCUUUAAUAGGCAGCCAAACUCCUGAGUUUGAGAGCUAACCACCCAGAUGGCUUCUUAGUCUGUUUUGUUUUCAGAACUGAAAAAGUAGAUCUAGUGCUAGAACCCAUGACAGGUGUAUACAACAGGCUCAAUAGCUGUGUGUUAAAAAGAGUUGAUGAGUUAAGUCACCUUCAUAUUGGUAUCAGUCUGAUUCAACUCCUGUAGCAUCUGAGUUACCACAAGGUAAUAAAACAAAACAUCAAAGAAGAUAAGAAAUAUAAUUGCUAGUCCACUUUUGUGGAUUAAAAAAAAAAUAAGAUUCUGUGUUCUGUCCUGUUAUUUCUUGUGCUUAUCUCUGGCAAUGUCAUUCAAAGUCAUACAGUCUGGAUGAUUGCUUCCAUAUAGAUAACCCUCCAAGUCCUAUCUCUAACAUUGAACUUCCAGCAAAGUCAUAAUGCCCUAGACCCACAGGGCAGCAUUCUGUUCAACUGUGUGUGUUACCAGUGUUUACAGAGGACUUCCUAAGUUCCUGAGUUUACAAACUAUUAUCUCCAGCACUCCUAUGAAAUAGGUACUACUACACAGAUGCUGGUGUUGACAUGUACUAGAUGUGUAACCUUGGAAGGCUUAG
Molecule: long non-coding RNA, 1495 nt
Organism: Balaenoptera musculus (blue whale)
Lineage: Eukaryota; Metazoa; Chordata; Mammalia; Artiodactyla; Balaenopteridae
Exons: 3
Source: RefSeq, a predicted model, not a curated record